GAUGAACGCUGGCGGCGUGCCUAAUACAUGCAAGUAGAACGCUGAAGGAGGAGCUUGCUCUUCUGGAUGAGUUGCGAACGGGUGAGUAACGCGUAGGUAACCUGCCUGGUAGCGGGGGAUAACUAUUGGAAACGAUAGCUAAUACCGCAUGACAACAGUUAUUGCAUGAUAACUGUUUAAAAGGGGCAACUGCUCCACUACCAGAUGGACCUGCGUUGUAUUAGCUAGUUGGUGAGGUAACGGCUCACCAAGGCGACGAUACAUAGCCGACCUGAGAGGGUGAUCGGCCACACUGGGACUGAGACACGGCCCAGACUCCUACGGGAGGCAGCAGUAGGGAAUCUUCGGCAAUGGACGGAAGUCUGACCGAGCAACGCCGCGUGAGUGAAGAAGGUCUUCGGAUCGUAAAGCUCUGUUGUAAGAGAAGAACGAGUGUGAGAGUGGAAAGUUCACACUGUGACGGUAUCUUACCAGAAAGGGACGGCUAACUACGUG
This 495-nucleotide ribosomal RNA is filed under the name uncultured bacterium. RNAcentral describes it as "partial 16S ribosomal RNA". It matches the Rfam family "Bacterial small subunit ribosomal RNA", at positions 28 to 507 of the family's 1533-position model. The record is from RNAcentral.